UACGGAGGGUGCAAGCGUUGUCCGGAUUUAUUGGGUUUAAAGGGUACGUAGGCGGCUAAUUAAGUCAGCGGUGAAAUUCCAGAGCUCAACUCUGCGAACUGCCAUUGAUACUGGUUAGCUUGAGUACAGAUGAGGUAGGCGGAAUUGACAGUGUAGCGGUGAAAUGCUUAGAUAUUGUCAAGAACACCUAUUGCGAAGGCAGCUUACUAAACUGUAACUGACGCUGAGGCACGAAAGCGUGGGGAUCAAACAGG
Molecule: ribosomal RNA, 254 nt
Filed under: uncultured bacterium
Lineage: Bacteria
Description: partial 16S ribosomal RNA
Rfam family: Bacterial small subunit ribosomal RNA
Source: RNAcentral